This 448-nucleotide ribosomal RNA is filed under the name uncultured Bacillus sp. RNAcentral's name for it is "bacterial SSU rRNA". It matches the Rfam family "Bacterial small subunit ribosomal RNA", at positions 349 to 789 of the family's 1533-position model. Lineage: Bacteria; Bacillati; Bacillota; Bacilli; Caryophanales; Bacillaceae. The record is from RNAcentral.
CAGCAGUAGGGAAUCUUCGGCAAUGGACGAAAGUCUGACCGAGCAACGCCGCGUGAGUGAAGAAGGUUUUCGGAUCGUAAAACUCUGUUGUAGGGGAAGAAUGGCUACUAGACGAAUAGGCUAGUAGAUUGACGGUACCCUAUUAGAAAGCCMCGGCUAACUACGUGCCAGCAGCCGCGGUAAUACGUAGGUGGCAAGCGUUGUCCGGAAUUAUUGGGCGUAAAGCGCGCGCAGGCGGUCCUAUAAGUCUGAUGUGAAAGCCCCCGGCUCAACCGGGGAGGGUCAUUGGAAACUGUAAGACUUGAGUACUGGAGAGAAGAGUGGAAUUCCACGUGUAGCGGUGAAAUGCGUAGAGAUGUGGAGGAACACCAGUGGCGAAGGCGACUCUUGGCCAGAAACUGACGCUGAGGCGCGAAAGCGUGGGGAGCAAACAGGAUUAGAUACCCGG